Molecule: ribosomal RNA, 455 nt
Filed under: uncultured bacterium
Lineage: Bacteria
Description: bacterial SSU rRNA
Rfam family: Bacterial small subunit ribosomal RNA
Source: RNAcentral
AUUGAACGCUGGCGGCAUGCUUUACACAUGCAAGUCGAACGGCAGCGCGGGCUUCGGCCUGGCGGCGAGUGGCGAACGGGUGAGUAAUAUAUCGGAACGUACCCAAGAGUGGGGGAUAACGUAGCGAAAGUUACGCUAAUACCGCAUACGAUCUAAGGAUGAAAGCAGGGGAUCGCAAGACCUUGUGCUCCUGGAGCGGCCGAUAUCUGAUUAGCUAGUUGGUGGGGUAAAGGCCCACCAAGGCAACGAUCAGUAGCUGGUCUGAGAGGACGACCAGCCACACUGGAACUGAGACACGGUCCAGACUCCUACGGAGGCAGCAGUGGGGAAUUUUGGGACAAUGGGGGCAACCCUGAUCCAGCAAUGCCGCGUGAGUGAAGAAGGCCUUCGGUUGUAAGACUCUUUGUCUAGGAGAAAGGUACGUGGCGUAAUAUCCACGACUAGCUGACGGUACC